This 880-nucleotide ribosomal RNA is filed under the name Typhicola typharum. RNAcentral's name for it is "partial large subunit ribosomal RNA". It matches the Rfam family "Eukaryotic large subunit ribosomal RNA", at positions 61 to 959 of the family's 3401-position model. Lineage: Eukaryota; Fungi; Ascomycota; Dothideomycetes; Pleosporales; Pleosporaceae. The record is from RNAcentral.
GAAGACAACAGGGAUUGCCCUAGUAACGGCGAGUGAAGCGGCAACAGCUCAAAUUUGAAAUCUGGCUCUUUUAGGGUCCGAGUUGUAAUUUGCAGAGGGCGCUUUGGCGUUGGCAGCGGUCCAAGUUCUUUGGAACAGGACGUCACAGAGGGUGAGAAUCCCGUACGUGGUCGCUAGCCUUCGCCGUGUAAAGCCCCUUCGACGAGUCGAGUUGUUUGGGAAUGCAGCUCUAAAUGGGAGGUAAAUUUCUUCUAAAGCUAAAUACUGGCCAGAGACCGAUAGCGCACAAGUAGAGUGAUCGAAAGAUGAAAAGCACUUUGGAAAGAGAGUCAAAUAGCACGUGAAAUUGUUGAAAGGGAAGCGCUUGCAGCCAGACUUGCCUGUAGUUGCUUAUCCGGACUUUUGUCCGGUGCACUCUUCUGCGGGCAGGCCAGCAUCAGUUUAGGCGGUUGGAUAAAGGUCUCUAUCACGUACCUCCCUUCGGGGUAGGCCUUAUAGGGGAGACGACAUGCAACCAGCCUGAACUGAGGUCCGCGCAUCUGCUAGGAUGCUGGCGUAAUGGCUGUAAGCGGCCCGUCUUGAAACACGGACCAAGGAGUCUAACAUCUAUGCGAGUGUUUGGGUGUCAAGCCCAGACGCGUAAUGAAAGUGAACGGAGGUGGGAACCUUUUAGGUGCACCAUCGACCGAUCCUGAUGUCUUCGGAUGGAUUUGAGUAAGAGCAUGGCUGUUGGGACCCGAAAGAUGGUGAACUAUGCUUGAAUAGGGUGAAGCCAGAGGAAACUCUGGUGGAGGCUCGCAGCGGUUCUGACGUGCAAAUCGAUCGUCAAAUUUGGGCAUAGGGGCGAAAGACUAAUCGAACUAUCUAGUAGCUGGUCUGC